This 77-nucleotide transfer RNA is filed under the name Ruminiclostridium papyrosolvens DSM 2782. RNAcentral describes it as "[Clostridium] papyrosolvens DSM 2782 tRNA-Arg". Lineage: Bacteria; Bacillati; Bacillota; Clostridia; Eubacteriales; Oscillospiraceae. The record is from RNAcentral.
UGGCGCGCCCGGCAGAGAUCGAAUCCACAACCUUCUGGUCCGUAGCCAGACGCUCUAUCCAAUUGAGCUACGGGCGC